RNAcentral lists this ribosomal RNA (461 nucleotides) under uncultured bacterium. RNAcentral describes it as "SSU rRNA". It matches the Rfam family "Bacterial small subunit ribosomal RNA", at positions 26 to 518 of the family's 1533-position model. The record is from RNAcentral.
AGAAUGAACGCUAGCGAUAGGCCUAACACAUGCAAGUCGAACGCAUACUUUAUAGUAUGAGUGGCAAACGGGUGAGUAACACGUGAGAGAUCUACCUUACAGCCCGGUAUAAUGAAGGUAUAAAAUAUUUUUUAUACAAUAAGAAUUCCGGAUAAUUCAUAAAGGCAAAGAACCGUUGUAAGAUGAGCUCGCGUAGGAUUAGGUAGUUGGUAAGGUAAAAGCUUAUCCAAGCCGAUGAUCCUUAGUUGGUCUGAGAGGAUGAUCAGCCACACUGGGACUGAGACACGGCCCAGACGCUUUCGAGCGGCAGCAGUGAGGAAUUUUGGACAAUGGGCGAAAGCCUGAUCCAGCUAUAUCGCAUGAAUGAAGAAGGCUCAAUUGGUUGUAAAAUUCAUAUUUUCAAACAAGAUUGUGACAUAAAUGAAAAGAAUAGUCCCGACCAACUCCGCGCCAGCAGCCGC